RNAcentral lists this ribosomal RNA (271 nucleotides) under uncultured prokaryote. RNAcentral's name for it is "partial 16S ribosomal RNA". It matches the Rfam family "Bacterial small subunit ribosomal RNA", at positions 524 to 794 of the family's 1533-position model. The record is from RNAcentral.
CACGUAGGAGGCAAACGUUAUCCGGAUUUACUGGGCGUAAAGCGCGUGUAGGUGGUUCUGUAAGUAGGGCGUGAAAGCUCCUGGCUCAACUGGGAGAGGCCGUUCUAAACUGCAGAGCUAGAGGAUGGUAGAGGGAGGUGGAAUUCCAGGUGUAGCGGUGGAAUGCGCAGAUAUCUGGAGGAACACCAGUGGCGAAGGCGGCCUCCUGGACCAUUCCUGACACUCAGACGCGAAAGCUAGGGUAGCAAACGGGAUUAGAUACCCCCGUAGU